Carassius gibelio (silver crucian carp) is the source of this 852-nucleotide long non-coding RNA. RefSeq lists it as uncharacterized. The record is from RefSeq and is a predicted model, not a curated record. NCBI's taxonomy places the organism in Eukaryota, Metazoa, Chordata, Actinopteri, Cypriniformes, Cyprinidae. The transcript is spliced from 2 exons.
UAUUCACCUUAUUUUCCAUGGCAACAACGGUGCCGCCAUUGCGCUCGUUUUGUCAUCUUACUUCCGGCUGAGGGACCGGAUGUAACGUACCUAAGCUAGUGGCUGGCUAGAUAACAGAACGCAGAACGAACAGAAGUAUGAUAUAUGCUCAGUUAGGGGCUGCAUAACAAUUGUAUUAAAAAAUAAUUGCACCAACGAUGUAGCAAACACAUUGUGACGCGGUCGGAGUGCUGUGGUGCACUUUACAAUUUACACCCACCACCUAAAGAAGAGAAGCACCUGAGGAAAUGGAUGAAGGCGCUAAAUUUGAAGCGCCCACCCAAGCGCUCUUAUGUGUGUUCGUACCAUUUCAUGGACGGGAAGGCGACUGACGAACACUUUUACCCCGAGAAAUGGCUCGACUACGAUGUCCCGUUAAAGAGGUCACGCCGGGGAUGAAAAGGUUGUCAGAUUCGGAUGUAUCGAUGACCGCCAGUGAUGCAGUGGACAGCUGUGAGGGUGAUCAGAUCCACAUGCCCCUGAUCUUGCUGAAAGUCACCAGAAGUUACCUGCUGUGAUAGUUAUUUUUUAUGAACCUUUACAAAGUCACCAAAAGUUACCUGCUGUAAUAGUUAUUAUGAACCUUUACAGUGUCACCUGACAUUACCUGCUGUAAAUAGUUUUUAUUUAUUUAUCUUAAUUUGUUAAGUUAAUUCCAUCUUGGUUUAUUACAUAUGGAAAUUAAAUGUUGAAAUUUUAUAGGAUGGUCAGUAGAAGGUGUCUCUUGCUUCCUGAAAACAACAAACACUGAUCAAUACAUCACAAAUGAUUUUAUACAACUUAUAUUAAAUGAUCCAUGUUCUAAAAAACAAA